This is a non-coding RNA of Pelobates cultripes (western spadefoot toad), 480 nucleotides long. NCBI's taxonomy places the organism in Eukaryota, Metazoa, Chordata, Amphibia, Anura, Pelobatidae. The record is from the annotation of a GenBank genome assembly.
GCAGUUGCAGAGCACCAGUUUUACAGAAUCUGAUCUGGGAACACCAUGUCCCCAUUUAAUGUAAGAUCUGGAUGAAGCCUACACUUGGAGAUUCUAGUAAAGAACUUCUUAAAGGGGUGCUCAAGUGAAUUGGUCAUGGUGCAAGGACCGUGUGUACAAAUUCUGCACAUUCUGAGAUAUGUAGACUAACUUUGUAACUCCACCUCCGGCGGCGGCAGCAAACAUGGAGCGAGAAUUCUGGCAUGGUUAAUGUCAAUUCUGUGCAUAUACUAUUAUAGAAUUUCAUUCAUUGGGCGAUGGCAAAACAUGUCAGGGUACUUCGAGCAUCAUAACUAAUGCAGCAGGCUCUAGAACUUAUUAUGCUUGGAGUAGCAAGAACCAUACCACUGACGUAAAUAAAAAGAUUGCCAAAUACAGAGUCCUCAAGCAGAGAAAAAUAGAGUAUAAGCUCCCACUUUACAAAACCCGGACCUACUCACA